RNAcentral lists this ribosomal RNA (433 nucleotides) under Theileria mutans. RNAcentral describes it as "SSU rRNA". It matches the Rfam family "Eukaryotic small subunit ribosomal RNA", at positions 447 to 924 of the family's 1831-position model. Lineage: Eukaryota; Apicomplexa; Aconoidasida; Piroplasmida; Theileriidae. The record is from RNAcentral.
AAUCCUGACACAGGGAGGUAGUGACAAGAAAUAACAAUACGGGGCUCAACGCCUUGUAAUUGGAAUGAUGGGAACCUAAACCCCUUCCAGAGUAUCAAUUGGAGGGCAAGUCUGGUGCCAGCAGCCGCGGUAAUUCCAGCUCCAAUAGCGUAUAUUAAAAUUGUUGCGGUUAAAAAGCUCGUAGUUGAAUUUCUGCCGCAUCGCGGCGGCCCUCCCGGGCCCAGCGUUGCGGCUUAUUUCGGACUCGCUUGCGUCUCCGAAUGUUUACUUUGAGAAAAUUAGAGUGCUCAAAGCAGGCCCUUGCCUUGAAUACUUUAGCAUGGAAUAAUAAAGUAGGACUUUGGUUCUAUUUUGUUGGUUUAGCGCCAAAGUAAUGGUUAAUAGGAACAGUUGGGGGCAUUCGUAUUUAACUGUCAGAGGUGAAAUUCUUAGA